This 987-nucleotide ribosomal RNA is filed under the name Pantoea sp. RNAcentral describes it as "bacterial SSU rRNA". It matches the Rfam family "Bacterial small subunit ribosomal RNA", at positions 33 to 1017 of the family's 1533-position model. Lineage: Bacteria; Pseudomonadati; Pseudomonadota; Gammaproteobacteria; Enterobacterales; Erwiniaceae. The record is from RNAcentral.
GUGCAUGGCGGCAGCUACACAUGCAGUCGGACGGUAGCACAGAGAGCUUGCUCUCGGGUGACGAGUGGGGGACGGGGGAGUAAUGUGUGGGGAUCUGCCCGAUAGAGGGGGAUAACCACUGGAAACGGUGGCUAAUACCGCAUAACGUCGCAAGACCAAAGAGGGGGACCUUCGGGCCUCUCACUAUCGGAUGAACCCCGAUGGGAUUAGCUAGUAGGCGGGGUAAUGGGCCACCUAGGCGACGAUCCCUAGCUGGUCUGAGAGGAUGACCAGCCACACUGGAACUGAGACACGGUCCAGACUCCUACGGGAGGCAGCAGUGGGGAAUAUUGCACAAUGGGCGCAAGCCUGAUGCAGCCAUGCCGCGUGUAUGAAGAAGGCCUUCGGGUUGUAAAGUACUUUCAGCGGGGAGGAAGGCGACGGGGUUAAUAACCCUGUCGAUUGACGUUACCCGCAGAAAAAGCACCGGCUAACUCCGUGCCAGCAGCCGCGGUAAUACGGAGGGUGCAAGCGUUAAUCGGAAUUACUGGGCGUAAAGCGCACGCAGGCGGUCUGUUAAGUCAGAUGUGAAAUCCCCGGGCUUAACCUGGGAACUGCAUUUGAAACUGGCAGGCUUGAGUCUUGUAGAGGGGGGUAGAAUUCCAGGUGUAGCGGUGAAAUGCGUAGAGAUCUGGAGGAAUACCGGUGGCGAAGGCGGCCCCCUGGACAAAGACUGACGCUCAGGUGCGAAAGCGUGGGGAGCAAACAGGAUUAGAUACCCUGGUAGUCCACGCCGUAAACGAUGUCGACUUGGAGGUUGUUCCCUUGAGGAGUGGCUUCCGGAGCUAACGCGUUAAGUCGACCGCCUGGGGAGUACGGCCGCAAGGUUAAAACUCAAAUGAAUUGACGGGGGCCCCACAAGCGGUGGAGCAUGUGGUUUAUUCGAUGCAACGCGAAGAACCUUACCUACUCUUGACAUCCAGCGAACUUUCAGAGAUGGAUUGGUGC